GUCCACGCCCUAAACGAUGCUCACUAGGUGUUGGGGAAGCGAUUCCUUGGUACCGAAGCUAACGCGUGAAGUGAGCCGCCUGGGGAGUACGGCCGCAAGGUUAAAACUCAAAGGAAUUGACGGGGACCCGCACAAGCGGUGGAUGAUGUGGAUUAAUUCGAUGCAACGCGAACAACCUUACCUACCCUUGACAUGUCCGGAAGGCCCCUGAGAGGGGGCUGUGCCUGAAAGGGAACUGGAACACAGGUGCUGCAUGGCUGUCGU
RNAcentral lists this ribosomal RNA (264 nucleotides) under uncultured bacterium. Its description in RNAcentral is "partial 16S ribosomal RNA". It matches the Rfam family "Bacterial small subunit ribosomal RNA", at positions 793 to 1055 of the family's 1533-position model. The record is from RNAcentral.